AUUGAACGCUGGCGGCAUGCCUUACACAUGCAAGUCGAACGGUAACAGGGGCUUCGGCCCGCUGACGAGUGGCGGACGGGUGAGUAAUGCAUCGGAAUGUACCCAGUAGUGGGGGAUAGCCCGGCGAAAGCCGGAUUAAUACCGCGUACGCACUAUGGUGGAAAGUGGGGGACCUUUACGGGCCUCACGCUAUUGGAGCAGCCGAUGUCAGAUUAGCUAGUUGGUGGGGUAAAAGCCUACCAAGGCGACGAUCUGUAACUGGUCUGAGAGGACGACCAGUCACACUGGGACUGAGACACGGCCCAGACUCCUACGGGAGGCAGCAGUGGGGAAUUUUGGACAAUGGGGGAAACCCUGAUCCAGCAAUGCCGCGUGUGUGAAGAAGGCCUUCGGGUUGUAAAGCACUUUUGCCGGGAA
This 417-nucleotide ribosomal RNA is filed under the name uncultured bacterium. RNAcentral's name for it is "bacterial SSU rRNA". It matches the Rfam family "Bacterial small subunit ribosomal RNA", at positions 30 to 445 of the family's 1533-position model. The record is from RNAcentral.